UCUGCUCAUACUCCAUGGUUCCU
RNAcentral lists this microRNA (23 nucleotides) under Equus caballus (horse). RNAcentral describes it as "eca-miR-767-3p". Its record names the gene eca-miR-767-3p. Lineage: Eukaryota; Metazoa; Chordata; Mammalia; Perissodactyla; Equidae. The record is from miRBase by way of RNAcentral.